Molecule: long non-coding RNA, 1155 nt
Organism: Gigantopelta aegis
Lineage: Eukaryota; Metazoa; Mollusca; Gastropoda; Neomphalida; Peltospiridae
Exons: 4
Source: RefSeq, a predicted model, not a curated record
CCCCCCCCCACUUGAUUCAAACAGUUUUAUUUUGUGUGUGGUGGCCUGGUGUGUCUUAGGUCUACAACUUUCACUACCCCCCAUUUGGUGUGUCUUAGAUCUACAACUUUCACUACCCCCCAUUUGGUGUGUCUUAGGUCUACAACUUUCACUACCCCCCAUUUGGUGUGUCUUAGGUCUACAACUUUCACUACCCCCCAUUUGGUGUGUCUUAGAUCUACAACUUUCACUACCCCCCAUUUGGUGUGUCUUAGGUCUACAACUUUCACUACCCCCCAUUUGGUGUGUCUUAGGUCUACAACUUUCACUACCCCCCAUUUGGUGUGUCUUAGGUCUACAACUUUCACUACCCCCCAUUUGCUUUAAACAGUCAUAUUUUGGUGUCAUAGGUCUACAACUUUCACUACACCCCAUUUGCUUUAAACAGUCAUAUUUUGGUGUGUCUUAGGUCUACAACUUUCUCUACCCUCCCACCCCCACCCCCCACUUGAUUCAAACAGUUUUAUUUUGUGUGUGGUGGCCUGGUGUGUCUUAGGUCUACAACUUUCACUACCCCCCAUUUGGUGUGUCUUAGGUCUACAACUUUCACUACCCCCCAUUUGGUGUGUCUUAGGUCUACAACUUUCACUACCCCCCAUUUGGUGUGUCUUAGGUCUACAACUUUCACUACCCCCCAUUUGGUGUGUCUUAGAUCUACAACUUUCACUACCCCCCAUUUGGUGUGUCUUAGGUCUACAACUUUCACUACCCCCCAUUUGGUGUGUCUUAGGUCUACAACUUUCACUACCCCCCAUUUGCUUUAAACAGUCAUAUUUUGGUGUCAUAGGUCUACAACUUUCACUACCCCCCAUUUGGUGUGUCAUAGGUCUACAACUUUCACUACACCCCAUUUGCUUUAAACAGUCAUAUUUUGGUGUGUCUUAGGUCUACAACUUUCUCUACACCCCCCCCCCCCCACACUUGAUUCAAACAGUUUUAUUUUGUGUGUGGUGGCCUGGUGUGUCUUAGGUCUACAACUUUCACUACACCCCAUUUGCUUUAAACAGUCAUAUUUUGGUGUGUCUUAGGUCUACAACUUUCACUACCCCCCAUUUGCUUUAAACAGUCAUAUUUUGGUGUCAUAGGUCUACAACUUUCACUACCCCCCAUUUGGUG